UGGCACAAUUAACCGAGAAGGAUAUGUGGAAGAAACUACAGGAUCUUCAGGACAUUGUGUUGGGUAGAAAGGAAAUGGACAUUCAAGAGGCGGAUGUAGGACCAAGCACCAAGGACGAUGGCAAGUACAACGAUGAUGACAAAGAAAAGAGGGACGAGGAGAAAAAACCAAAGAAUAAGAAGUAGAAUGUACACAAAACGUCAGAAAAAUCGCCAAGGAACUAAUGAAACUAAUAAAAACGUCCAGAAAAUUGCAAUGUUCAAGGUCCAGAAAGUGAAGCGGAUGUGCGCUACACUCAUCCGUGUGGCUGAUGAUGCACUAUCUUAUAUCGACAAGCAAAAUAUUCCUGCAUUUGUAUGUCUCCAGCUGAAACAGAACAUCAGCACGCAGGUUGACACCGUCAACGCAGAAAUUAAGAAAAAAAUAAUCUAAAGCUAUUAAUACUAAUAUAAAGAGC
Molecule: long non-coding RNA, 457 nt
Organism: Topomyia yanbarensis
Lineage: Eukaryota; Metazoa; Arthropoda; Insecta; Diptera; Culicidae
Exons: 4
Source: RefSeq, a predicted model, not a curated record